Molecule: ribosomal RNA, 121 nt
Filed under: Pteropus alecto (black flying fox)
Lineage: Eukaryota; Metazoa; Chordata; Mammalia; Chiroptera; Pteropodidae
Source: RNAcentral
GUCUACAGCCAUGCCACCCUGAACACACCCGAUCUCGUCUGAGAACUUGGAAGCUAAGCAGGGUUGGUCCUGGUUAGUACUUGCAUGGGAGACCACCUAGGAAUACCAGGUGUUAUAGAAG